This 434-nucleotide ribosomal RNA is filed under the name uncultured bacterium. RNAcentral's name for it is "partial 16S ribosomal RNA". It matches the Rfam family "Bacterial small subunit ribosomal RNA", at positions 29 to 507 of the family's 1533-position model. The record is from RNAcentral.
AGCGAACGCUGGCGGCAGGCCUAACACAUGCAAGUCGAACGAACCUUUCGGGGUUAGUGGCGGACGGGUGAGUAACACGUGGGAACGUGCCUUUAGGUUCGGAAUAACUCAGGGAAACUUGUGCUAAUACCGAAUGUGCCCUUCGGUGGAAAGAUUUAUCGCCUUUAGAGCGGCCCGCGUCUGAUUAGCUAGUUGGUUGAGGUAAUGGCUCACCAAGGCGACGAUCAGUAGCUGGUAUGAGAGGAUGAUCAGCCACAUUGGGACUGAGACACGGCCCAAACUACUACGGGAGGCAGCAGUGGGGAAUCUUGCGCAAUGGGCGAAAGCCUGACGCAGCCAUGCCGCGUGAAUGAUGAAGGUCUUAGGAUUGUAAAAUUCUUUCACCGGGGACGAUAAUGACGGUACCCGGAGAAGAAGCCCCGGCUAACUUCGUG